Molecule: transfer RNA, 69 nt
Filed under: Camelus bactrianus (Bactrian camel)
Lineage: Eukaryota; Metazoa; Chordata; Mammalia; Artiodactyla; Camelidae
Also listed under: 3 other names
Rfam family: tRNA
About the family: Transfer RNA (tRNA) molecules are approximately 80 nucleotides in length. Their secondary structure includes four short double-helical elements and three loops (D, anti-codon, and T loops). Further hydrogen bonds mediate the characteristic L-shaped molecular structure. tRNAs have two regions of fundamental functional importance: the anti-codon, which is responsible for specific mRNA codon recognition, and the 3' end, to which the tRNAs corresponding amino acid is attached (by aminoacyl-tRNA synthetases). tRNAs cope with the degeneracy of the genetic code in two manners: having more than one tRNA (with a specific anti-codon) for a particular amino acid; and 'wobble' base-pairing, i.e. permitting non-standard base-pairing at the 3rd anti-codon position.
Source: Rfam by way of RNAcentral
GGACUAGCUCAGUGGUAGAGCUUGUGCUUAGCAUGCACAAGGUCCUGGGUUCGAUCUCCUGUACCUCCA